Molecule: small nucleolar RNA, 83 nt
Organism: Lachancea thermotolerans CBS 6340
Lineage: Eukaryota; Fungi; Ascomycota; Saccharomycetes; Saccharomycetales; Saccharomycetaceae
Source: RefSeq, a predicted model, not a curated record
UUUCAUGAUGACAAGUGAGCUACUUUCGAAAGUAUUUAUGAAGAGACUCAUAAAAAAUAAUCGAUUUGCAUGUCAGUCUGAAC